Molecule: long non-coding RNA, 947 nt
Organism: Bos taurus (domestic cattle)
Lineage: Eukaryota; Metazoa; Chordata; Mammalia; Artiodactyla; Bovidae
Source: Ensembl
GUGACACCCUCACGCCUUCCGGGUGUUCCAGGCUCCUAGACAACUCUGUUUUCUGUGCCCUGGCUCUGCUGACCUGCCAUCCCCUGGGCCCUCCAGGACUACACUCUCAGGGAUCCCAGCCCUCUCAGGGAUCCUGAGUUGGGAGCCACGGCAGGGAUCUGAUGGGCCACUAACUGGCUGUUGCCCUUGGAUGAGCUGCCAGACCUCCCUGGACCUUGACUUCCCUGUGUAAAAACCCAAGGUUGAGGACAGUCAUCUCCAAGGUUGCCGCAGUGCCGGGGCCUCUCUAACUUUUCAAGACUGACCGCCAGGCACAAUCCUUCACAAGCACAUCUGAGCGACUUCCCCAGCCAAGACCCCAGCAGCAGGCCUGAAAGCUGAAUUCUCUUCCAGAAUCAGGGGCCCUGGGUGGAUUGGUAUGCAGCUGAUGGCCAAUAAGGGAGCCGUGCGGGGCGUCGGACCGGGAGGGUUUGGAACCGGGAGAGCGGUGGCUGCAGGAGCCCGGGAGAAGGAGGAGGAGAAAGAGGAGGAGAAGGGAGACGGAGGAGGAGGAAGGAGGCGGGCGGGCUCGCGGACCGGCGGGCUGACGGGUGCGCAGAGCAAAGAGGCAGCCUCGGCACUGCCCGACUCGGCAGCAGGUGACCCCAGGCCGGCGGGCUCAGGUCCCAGCGAUCGUCGCGCCCGCUGCGCUGUCGCUCCAACUUUGCAGGGACCAGCGUCCCCGUUCCGCUGCACGCUUCGGCUCCGAGCUGCGCGCCUGCGGUAAUGGCGGCCCCUUUGGCAAGGCGCGCUACCCCCCGCGGGCAGCCGGAGGCUGGGGGACGCUAGUCCCCGGGGAUCGUUGCACCUGCCCAAUCUCAACUUUCAGCUUUCCUCCGCGCCGGGCUCGGCAGAGGCACGGCCACUGCCAGCCCGGUAAUGGCGGACUCUUCGGCAUCGCUCGCCAC